Molecule: transfer RNA, 68 nt
Filed under: Marmota monax (woodchuck)
Lineage: Eukaryota; Metazoa; Chordata; Mammalia; Rodentia; Sciuridae
Description: tRNA.Ala
Source: RNAcentral
GGCUGUAGCUCAGUGGCAGAGUGCUUGCCUAGCAUGUGUGAGGUACUGGGUUUCAAUCCUCAGCACCA